AAAGAAUUAGUUAAAUUUAACAUUAAAUUGUCAUUUUAAAAUUAUUAUAUUACUAAAUAAUAUUCUUUU
This 69-nucleotide transfer RNA is filed under the name Aphaenogaster famelica. RNAcentral describes it as "tRNA-Asp". Lineage: Eukaryota; Metazoa; Arthropoda; Insecta; Hymenoptera; Formicidae. The record is from RNAcentral.